UUAAAUUGAAGAGUUUGAUCAUGGCUCAGAUUGAACGCUGGCGGCAGGCCUAACACAUGCAAGUCGAACGGUAACAGAAAGCAGCUUGCUGCUUUGCUGACGAGUGGCGGACGGGUGAGUAAUGUCUGGGAAACUGCCUGAUGGAGGGGGAUAACUACUGGAAACGGUAGCUAAUACCGCAU
This 182-nucleotide ribosomal RNA is filed under the name Escherichia coli. RNAcentral's name for it is "partial 16S ribosomal RNA". It matches the Rfam family "Bacterial small subunit ribosomal RNA", at positions 1 to 174 of the family's 1533-position model. The record is from RNAcentral. Lineage: Bacteria; Pseudomonadati; Pseudomonadota; Gammaproteobacteria; Enterobacterales; Enterobacteriaceae.